RNAcentral lists this ribosomal RNA (253 nucleotides) under uncultured bacterium. RNAcentral's name for it is "partial 16S ribosomal RNA". It matches the Rfam family "Bacterial small subunit ribosomal RNA", at positions 524 to 776 of the family's 1533-position model. The record is from RNAcentral.
GACGAACCGUGCGAACGUUGUUCGGAAUCACUGGGCUUAAAGGGCGCGUAGGCGGGCUCACAAGUCUGGGGUGAAAUCCCACGGCUCAACCGUGGAAGUGCCUUUGAUACUGUGGGUCUUGAGGGAGGUAGGGGCGUGCGGAACUUCCGGUGGAGCGGUGAAAUGCGUAGAUAUCGGAAGGAACACCGGUGGCGAAAGCGGCGCGCUGGACCUCUACUGACGCUGAGGCGCGAAAGCCAGGGGAGCAAACGGG